This 118-nucleotide ribosomal RNA is filed under the name Diaphorina citri (Asian citrus psyllid). The record is from RNAcentral. Lineage: Eukaryota; Metazoa; Arthropoda; Insecta; Hemiptera; Psyllidae.
GAUAGCAGCGAUAGCACGUUGAAUGCACCAGUUCUCAACGGAUAACUGAAGUUGAGCAACGUUUAGCGUGGUUAAUAUCCGGAAGGGUGAUCAUAUAGACAAUCACGUUUUCUUGGCU